This is a long non-coding RNA of Harmonia axyridis, 511 nucleotides long. RefSeq lists it as uncharacterized. The transcript has 2 exons. NCBI's taxonomy places the organism in Eukaryota, Metazoa, Arthropoda, Insecta, Coleoptera, Coccinellidae. The record is from RefSeq and is a predicted model, not a curated record.
AUUCCUUAUACUAUGGUAUUACCCAUAGACCACCAUAAAGAAAUGAAAUGUUAUUUGUCUAUACGUUCGAGUUUUCCAAUAUGAUUUUAACCAACAAUAAAUUGGGUUGUAAUACUUGUAUGUUUUGUAUGGUAGCAAUGAAGCGAUAAAGGAGUUUUUAUUGUCGCUUAUUACAAGGUCUGUUUUAGGUUUCAGGUAAAGUCAGAUCUCCACCUACAACCUCCAAAUGAGUUGAAAAUGAAGUACCAAAGAAGACCUGUGAUAAUUAAAGUGAAUUACGAAAUGUGCACUAUAAAGUAGGACGAUAGAUUAAUCGAAUUGAAGAUUUUUUAUCUUUCAUGUAUGUGUAGAAAUUUGAAUAUUGCUUCAGAAAUGUACCAAUUCAGUUGUUCAUCAGAUAGAAUUUUAAGUAGGUAUAAAUAGGUAUUUUUUUUCAGUCAUUUAUAGUGUAAAUCUCCCAAUAUAAUGAAUAUUAUGUAUUGAUUUUUGUAAAUAAUUACUAUUUUUUGGA